This 524-nucleotide ribosomal RNA is filed under the name uncultured bacterium. RNAcentral's name for it is "partial 16S ribosomal RNA". It matches the Rfam family "Bacterial small subunit ribosomal RNA", at positions 28 to 523 of the family's 1533-position model. The record is from RNAcentral.
GACGAACGCUGGCGGCGUGCCUAAUACAUGCAAGUCGAACGAAGCUGUUUUAACUGGUGCUUGCACCGACUUAAACAACUGAGUGGCGAACGGGUGAGUAACACGUGGGUAACCUGCCCCAAAGCGGGGGAUAACAUUUGGAAACAGAUGCUAAUACCGCAUAACCACAGAAACCACAUGGUUUCUGUGUCAAAGAUGGUUUCGGCUAUCACUUUGGGAUGGACCCGCGGCGUAUUAGCUAGUUGGUAAGGUAAUGGCUUACCAAGGCAAUGAUACGUAGCCGAACUGAGGGGUUGAUCGGCCACAUUGGGACUGAGACACGGCCCAAACUCCUACGGGAGGCAGCAGUAGGGAAUCUUCCACAAUGGACGAAAGUCUGAUGGAGCAACGCCGCGUGAGUGAAGAAGGCUUUCGGAUCGUAAAACUCUGUUGUCAGAGAAGAACGUGUGCGAGAGUAACUGCUCGUGCAGUGACGGUAUCUGGCCAGAAAGCCACGGCUAACUACGUGCCAGCCGCCGCAGUAA